This is a long non-coding RNA of Pongo pygmaeus (Bornean orangutan), 661 nucleotides long. RefSeq lists it as uncharacterized. The record is from RefSeq and is a predicted model, not a curated record. NCBI's taxonomy places the organism in Eukaryota, Metazoa, Chordata, Mammalia, Primates, Hominidae. The transcript has 2 exons.
GUGUCAGGCGCCUGUACUCCCAGCUACUUAGGAGGCUGAGGCAGGAGAAUGGCGUGAACCCGGGAGGCGGAGCUUGCAGUGAGCCGACAUCGCGCACUGCACUACAGGGCGACUGAGCAAGACUCUGUCUCAAAACAACAACAACAACAACAACAACAAAAAAACCAUAGUCCUUUGUCAGUCUUUAGUCUACUACUUCUGACUUAUUAGCAGCUCCUGGCCUUCCAUUUCUAGUUAUCCCAGAAGGACAUACUGGAACACCUUGCAGGUUACACACUUUGAUGGCACUAACAGCAUGUUAGAGAGAAUUGUGUGGCAAAGAACUGAAGGCAUCAGUCCAAAAGCCCAAAGAACUAAAUACUGCCAACAACCACAUGAACUUGGAAGUAGGUCCUUUCCCAGUGAGCUCUGGGGAUGACAAAAGACAGACGACACCUUGAUUGUAGUCUGUGAGAAAACCUGAAGCGGAAGACCCAGCUAACUUGUGCUCAGAUUCCUGACCAAUACAAAUUGUGAGACAAAUGUGUAAUUUUUUAAGCCAAGUUUUUGAUAAUGUAAUAUGAAGUGAUAGAUAACUAAUUCAAAAUAGAGAACUGGAUACAUAUGUUCACGAGCUAUUCUGGCAUAAAAGUACAUUCAAUAAAAAACUUGUUACUACUCU